This is a long non-coding RNA of Trichechus manatus latirostris (Florida manatee), 1173 nucleotides long. RefSeq lists it as uncharacterized. The record is from RefSeq and is a predicted model, not a curated record. Lineage: Eukaryota; Metazoa; Chordata; Mammalia; Sirenia; Trichechidae. The transcript is spliced from 3 exons.
AAAUUAGCCAAUGUAAACCUUAUGUAUCACAAUAGAACAUUGUCCGACUUGCUUGCUUUGGACACAUCAGGAGGUACCCAUCGCUGGAGGAAGACAUCAUGAUUGGUGAAGUAAAAGGUCAGUGAGCGUGAAGGAGACCCUCGGUGAGAUGGAUUGGCACAACAGCUGCAAUGAUGGACUUGAACAUGCUGGUGAUCGUGAGGAUGCAAGAGGACCAGGCAAGAUUUCCUUCUGUUUUACAUAACGUCACCAUGAGUCAGAGCCAACAUGAAGGCAUCUACCUACCUACCUACCUGUCUAUCUAUCUAUCUACCUACCUAACUAUCUAUGAUUGUAUUUAAUCCUUACAGCAACCCUACGGCAAUUCUAAACCAUGUCUGUAAAUUCUUUGCCACUCCUCCCAUUGAGGGAUGGAGUCUGUAUCCUCUCCUCUUGAAUCUGGAGUCUGUGACUACUUGACCAAUAGAAUACAGUGAAAAGGAUGCUCUGCCUUUUUGGGGACCCAGGCUCUAAGAAAUUGAUGGCUUCCAUUUCCUGGUUCUUGAGAUGCUUGCUCUUGAAACCCAGCCACCAUGCUGUGAGGAAGCCCAAGCAACCAGUAGAGAGGCCCAUGUGGAGAAGACUUGAUCCUCAGCUCAGCAGAGCUCCAGCCACAGCCAGCACCAACUUGCCAGCCAUUAUGUUCCAGGUGCUCUACGUGGUGAGCCAGACCCCAAAACGAAGUCAGCCCCUGAGGGGAGGGACAACUCUGUGUCUAUCUCAUAGCGUCCAUCACUGGCACUGGUCUCUGAGCCACCCCCGGGGCCUGGGCUUCCUGCUGGAGAAGGAGGGACUUGAACCGUCAGCCAUCUUGCCACAACCCAUAUGAAGACAUCAUGCCUGAGUAGGCCAGUGAGGACAAGGCUGACUAAUGCUGCCUUGGUCAGUAAGCUGCAGCUGUCCAGGUACAGUGCCCAUUUCUCCAGCCUCCAGAAAAUCGAUGUCCAGCCUCCAGCAAGAAGGAAGGAAACUAUAAUCAGGCUACUCUGAUGGACAGAUUGGCAGACACAGGCACCACUCGGAGGAGGCACCAGGGAUCCCAGAAGAUGUAGGAGCUGGAGUGUUCCUGGUUGAAGAGCUGCAGUUUAUCAAGAACUUCCUGUGUGCCAGGCUGAGGAUCAGACCGUUGUGACG